UGGGGAAUAUUGCACAAUGGGGGAAACCCUGAUGCAGCGACGCCGCGUGAGCGAUGAAGUAUCUCGGUAUGUAAAGCUCUAUCAGCAGGGAAGAAAGUGACAGUACCUGACUAAGAAGCCCCGGCUAACUACGUGCCAGCAGCCGCGGUAAUACGUAGGGGGCAAGCGUUAUCCGGAUUCACUGGGCGUAAAGGGAGCGCAGGCGGCACGGCAAGUCUGGUGUGAAAACCCGGGGCUCAACCCCGGGACUGCAUUGGAAACUGCCGGGCUGGAGUGUCGGAGGGGUAAGCGGAAUUCCUAGUG
Molecule: ribosomal RNA, 303 nt
Filed under: uncultured bacterium
Lineage: Bacteria
Description: bacterial SSU rRNA
Rfam family: Bacterial small subunit ribosomal RNA
Source: RNAcentral